GGUUUAGAACGUCGUGAGACAGUUUGGUCUCUAUCUUUUGUAAAUAGAAGAAAAUUGAAGAGAUUAUUUCCCAGUACGAGAGGACCGGAAAAAAUGCACCUCUGAUGGAAUAAUUGUUUUAUUAAGCAUUGUUAUGUAAUUAUGUGUAUAAUAAAUAAUCGCUGAAAACAACUAAGUGAGAAGUUAACUCUUAAAGAAUUUUCUCAAAUUUUGGUGAAAGAGGAUCACCUAAAUAGGUAUUAUGUUUACGUAUUGUAAGAUAUUUAGCUAA
RNAcentral lists this ribosomal RNA (271 nucleotides) under uncultured Pelagophyceae. RNAcentral describes it as "partial Bacterial large subunit ribosomal RNA". It matches the Rfam family "Bacterial large subunit ribosomal RNA", at positions 2608 to 2894 of the family's 2925-position model. Lineage: Eukaryota; Pelagophyceae. The record is from RNAcentral.